GACGAACGCUGGCGGCGUGCUUAACACAUGCAAGUCGAGCGGAAAGGCCACUUCGGUGGUACUCGAGCGGCGAACGGGUGAGUAACACGUGAGUAAUCUGCCCCUCACUUUGGGAUAGCCACCGGAAACGGUGAUUAAUACCGGAUAUGACCAUAUGUCGCAUGGCGUGUGGUGGAAAGUUUUUCGGUGAGGGAUGUGCUCGCGGCCUAUCAGCUUGAUGGUGAGGUAAUGGCUCACCAUGGCUUCGACGGGUAGCCGGCCUGGGAGGGUGACCAGUCACAAUAGGACUGAGACACGGCCCAGACUCCUACGGGAGGCAGCAGUGGGGAAUAUUGGACAAUGGGCGGAAGCCUGAUCCAGCAACGCCGCGUGAGGGAUGACGGCCUUCGGGUUGUAAACCUCUUUCAGUACCGACGAAGCGCAAGUGACGGUAGGUACAGAAGAAGCACCGGCCAACUACGUG
RNAcentral lists this ribosomal RNA (463 nucleotides) under uncultured bacterium. RNAcentral's name for it is "partial 16S ribosomal RNA". It matches the Rfam family "Bacterial small subunit ribosomal RNA", at positions 28 to 507 of the family's 1533-position model. The record is from RNAcentral.